UGUAAAAUUAGCAGCUGGGGGUUGGGGUGGGUGUUGGUUCUAAGGGAGCAUUUCCCAGUGGAUGGCUAUACACACUCAUAUGAAAAGAGGGCUGCAUUGAUAGUGCUGGGUAGGGUGUCAUGCUCUUUUCUCAAAUGUUCUGUGGAAGUAGCAUGGACAAAACAAAGAGCACUGGGUCUGCACCCAUGCUACCUGGAUGGAUGGAUUUAGCAUUAAGAACUUGAGCGUCCUAUGUUACUUGCCUGGGCCCGUUUCCUCAUCUGUAACAAGAGGACAUGAGUGGUCAUUCAGCCUACCAUUUGGUGCUGUAAAAAUGAGAAGGAUUAUUAUUUUUGUUCUUAUUUUUAUGAAUGUUUCAGGAUUCUGCACAGGGAUACAAUGAAAACGUUUUAUAUCACACACUGAAAAAUGAAAUAUACCAAAAAAGCUGCACCAAGUUAGAAUUUGGAACAGAAAUUAUUUAUAAAAUAGGCAAUGCUACUGGGCAUGUUUUGGUCUUCAAUUAAAUUCUUUUUAAACUCUGGCUCCACAGUGUAAUGGUUUUGGAAUUAGUAAUAAUAAAACACUAGUCACACUGGUGAGUAAUGGUUUUAUUUAAACAGGAUGAAAUGUUAACCCAGUGGUGCCCAGAACCAAAUGUAAGACCUCUAAGUGGCUAUCCCGUGAAUGUCAGAGGCCAGGGUCAUUGCUAUUAACCUUUCGGUGGGGGGCUGAGAUACACACAGCCCAGCUACCUGCAUUUCACCUCAUCAUUUCACCUCGAUGUUUUAUCUGUGCCUCAAAAUUCUUUUGGGAGCACUCAAUAUUGACUUUUUUUUUUUUUUUUUUUUACUGUUAGAGACACUGGGGCUCAGAAGGAUUGACUUGGUCAAAGUCUCACCGCCUGUAGGGGGUGCAGAGCCGAAGAGGUCAUGACAGUGCAGAGAGCACAGUUUGACUGUGACAUGACAGGCGUCGGCUGGGUUUCCAUUAGAGCACACAGGCGUCUUGACAAAUACAGCCACAGGCAAGCUUCUACUUACGCAGUCCCCCAACCACCAGGAACACGCCCGCAACAAACCUGUCUGAAAUGGACUCCAUUCCACUCCCCUUCCAGCUUGGAACCCCUGCUAGCAGCAGUAUCACCUGAGGACUUGCUGGAGACCCACAUUCUCUGAAGUCUGGCACCAGGCCUACUGAACGGGAACUCCAGGGGCAGGCCCCAGCAAUCUGCAUUUUUAAGAAGGUCCCCAGGUAAUUCUGAUGCACCCAAAGUGUGAAAACCACUGUUCUAGGGAAACAACGCAAAAGGAAGCCGAGGACCUGAGUAUUCAGCUCUGCUUCUUGACAAGCACAGUGAGAGCCCCCCAAGUUGUGGUUAAAAGCUAUGUGUUAGUUCCAGGCACAGAUGGUGGGGAGGGG
RNAcentral lists this long non-coding RNA (1401 nucleotides) under Delphinapterus leucas (beluga whale). RNAcentral describes it as "lncRNA (ENSDLEG00000014222.1)". Lineage: Eukaryota; Metazoa; Chordata; Mammalia; Artiodactyla; Monodontidae. The record is from RNAcentral.